GCCGGUCCUCGGUAGUACCCACUUGUGGAGCUCCUACAAGUCGGUUCGAUCGAAGACCGGC
Regulatory RNA element from Cryptosporangium arvum DSM 44712, 61 nucleotides. It matches the Rfam family "Actino-pnp RNA". Lineage: Bacteria; Bacillati; Actinomycetota; Actinomycetes; Cryptosporangiales; Cryptosporangiaceae. The record is from Rfam.